RNAcentral lists this unclassified non-coding RNA (347 nucleotides) under soil metagenome. Its description in RNAcentral is "partial contains 5.8S ribosomal RNA, internal transcribed spacer 2, and large subunit ribosomal RNA". The stretch from base 5 to 119 matches the Rfam family "5.8S ribosomal RNA", at positions 40 to 154 of the family's 154-position model. The record is from RNAcentral.
GAUGAGAACGUAGUGAAAUGCGAUAAGUAAUGUGAAUUGCAGAAUUCAGUGAAUCAUCGAAUCUUUGAACGCACAUUGCGCCCGCCAGUAUUCUGGCGGGCAUGCCUGUCUGAGCGUCAUUUCAACCCUCAUGCCCCUAGGGCGUGGUGUUGGGGAUCGGCCAAAGCCCGCGAGGGACGGCCGGCCCCUAAAUCUAGUGGCGGACCCGUCGUGGCCUCCUCUGCGAAGUAGUGAUAUUCCGCAUCGGAGAGCGAUGAGCCCCUGCCGUUAAACCCCCAACUUUCCAAGGUUGACCUCAGAUCAGGUAGGAAUACCCGCUGAACUUAAGCAUAUCAAUAAGCGGAGGA